Molecule: ribosomal RNA, 293 nt
Filed under: uncultured bacterium
Lineage: Bacteria
Description: partial 16S ribosomal RNA
Rfam family: Archaeal small subunit ribosomal RNA
Source: RNAcentral
GUGCCAGCCGCCGCGGUAAUACCGGCAGCUCAAGUGAUGACCGAUUUUAUUGGGCCUAAAGCGUCCGUAGCUGGCCAAGCAAGUCUGUCGGGAAAUCCAUCCGCUCAACGGAUGGGCGUCCGGCGGAAACUCCUUGGCUUGGGACCGGAAGGCUCGAGGGGUACGUCUGGGGUAGGAGUGAAAUCCUGUAAUCCUGGACGGACCACCGAUGGCGAAAGCACCUCGAGAAGACGGAUCCGACAGUGAGGGACGAAAGCUAGGGUCUCGAACCGGAUUAGAUACCCUAGUAGUCC